RNAcentral lists this ribosomal RNA (216 nucleotides) under Glomeromycotina sp. Its description in RNAcentral is "partial small subunit ribosomal RNA". The stretch from base 75 to 216 matches the Rfam family "Eukaryotic small subunit ribosomal RNA", at positions 721 to 864 of the family's 1831-position model. Lineage: Eukaryota; Fungi; Glomeromycota. The record is from RNAcentral.
GGGUCAGUAGGUUGGUCGUGCCACCGGUACGUACUGGUCUCACUGAUUCCUCCUUCCCGAAGAACCGUAAUGCCAUUAAUUUGGUGUUGCGGGGAAACAGGACUGUUACUUUGAAAAAAUUAGAGUGUUUAAAGCAAGCUAACGCUUGAAUACAUUAGCAUGGAAUAAUGAAAUAGGACGAUCGAUCCUAUUUUGUUGGUUUCCAGGAUUGACGUA